This 1368-nucleotide ribosomal RNA is filed under the name uncultured bacterium. Its description in RNAcentral is "bacterial SSU rRNA". It matches the Rfam family "Bacterial small subunit ribosomal RNA", at positions 28 to 1381 of the family's 1533-position model. The record is from RNAcentral.
GAUGAACGCUGGCGGCGUGCCUAAUACAUGCAAGUCGAGCGAACAGACAAGGAGCUUGCUCCUUUGACGUUAGCGGCGGACGGGUGAGUAACACGUGGGUAACUUACCUAUAAGACUGGGAUAACUUCGGGAAACCGGAGCUAAUACCGGAUAAUAUUUCGAACCGCAUGGUUCGAUAGUGAAAGAUGGUUUUGCUAUCACUUAUAGAUGGACCCGCGCCGUAUUAGCUAGUUGGUAAGGUAACGGCUUACCAAGGCGACGAUACGUAGCCGACCUGAGAGGGUGAUCGGCCACACUGGAACUGAGACACGGUCCAGACUCCUACGGGAGGCAGCAGUAGGGAAUCUUCCGCAAUGGGCGAAAGCCUGACGGAGCAACGCCGCGUGAGUGAUGAAGGUCUUCGGAUCGUAAAACUCUGUUAUUAGGGAAGAACAUACAUGUAAGUAACUAUGCACGUCUUGACGGUACCUAAUCAGAAAGCCACGGCUAACUACGUGCCAGCAGCCGCGGUAAUACGUAGGUGGCAAGCGUUAUCCGGAANUUAUGGGCGUAACGCGCGUAGCGGUUUUUUAGUCUGAUGUGAAAGCCCACGGCUCACCCGUGGAGGGUCAUUGGAAACUGUAAAACUUGAGUGCAGAAGAGGAAAGUGGAAUUCCAUGUGUAGCGGUGAAAUGCGCAGAGAUAUGGAGGAACACCAGUGGCGAAGGCGACUUUCUGGUCUGUAACUGACGCUGAUGUGCGAAAGCGUGGGGAUCAAACAGGAUUAGAUACCCUGGUAGUCCACGCCGUAAACGAUGAGUGCUAAGUGUUAGGGGGUUUCCGCCCCUUAGUGCUGCAGCUAACGCAUUAAGCACUCCGCCUGGGGAGUACGACCGCAAGGUUGAAACUCAAAGGAAUUGACGGGGACCCGCACAAGCGGUGGAGCAUGUGGUUUAAUUCGAAGCAACGCGAAGAACCUUACCAAAUCUUGACAUCCUUUGACAACUCUAGAGAUAGAGCCUUCCCCUUCGGGGGACAAAGUGACAGGUGGUGCAUGGUUGUCGUCAGCUCGUGUCGUGAGAUGUUGGGUUAAGUCCCGCAACGAGCGCAACCCUUAAGCUUAGUUGCCAUCAUUAAGUUGGGCACUCUAAGUUGACUGCCGGUGACAAACCGGAGGAAGGUGGGGAUGACGUCAAAUCAUCAUGCCCCUUAUGAUUUGGGCUACACACGUGCUACAAUGGACAAUACAAAGGGCAGCGAAACCGCGAGGUCAAGCAAAUCCCAUAAAGUUGUUCUCAGUUCGGAUUGUAGUCUGCAACUCGACUACAUGAAGCUGGAAUCGCUAGUAAUCGUAGAUCAGCAUGCUACGGUGAAUACGUUCCCGGGUCU